AGACCCGAAACCCGGUGAUCUAGCCAUGGGCAGGUUGAAGGUUGGGUAACACUAACUGGAGGACCGAACCGACUAAUGUUGAAAAAUUAGCGGAUGACCUGUGGCUGGGGGUGAAAGGCCAAUCAAACCGGGAGAUAGCUGGUUCUCCCCGAAAGCUAUUUAGGUAGCGCCUCGUGAAUUCAUCUCCGGGGGUAGAGCACUGUUUCGGCCAGGGGGCCAUCCCGGCUUACCAAUCCGAUGCAAACUGCGAAUACCGGAGAAUGUUAUCACGGGAGACACACGGCGGGUGCUAACGUCCGUCGUGAAGAGGGAAACAACCCAGACCGCCAGCUAAGGUCCCAAAGUCAUGGUUAAGUGGGAAACGAUGUGGGAAGGCCCAGACAGCCAGGAUGUUGGCUUAGAAGCAGCCAUCAUUUAAAGAAAGCGUAAUAGCUCACUGGUCGAGUCGGCCUGCGCGGAAGAUGUAACGGGGCUAAACCAUGCACCGAAGCUGCGGCAGCGACACUGAUGUGUUGUUGGGUAGGGGAGCGUUCUGUAAGCCGUUGAAGGUGGCCUGUGAGGGUUGCUGGAGGUAUCAGAAGUGCGAAUGCUGACAUAAGUAACGAUAAAGCGGGUGAAAAGCCCGCUCGCCGGAAGACCAAGGGUUCCUGUCCAACGUUAAUCGGGGCAGGGUGAGUCGACCCCUAAGGCGAGGCCGAAAGGCGUAGUCGAUGGGAAACGGGUUAAUAUUCCCGUACUUGGUGUUACUGCGAAGGGGGGACGGAGAAGGCUAUGUUGGCCGGGCGACGGUUGUCCCGGUUUAAGCGUGUAGGUGUGUGUUCCAGGUAAAUCCGGUUCACUUUAACAC
Molecule: ribosomal RNA, 847 nt
Filed under: Salmonella enterica
Lineage: Bacteria; Pseudomonadati; Pseudomonadota; Gammaproteobacteria; Enterobacterales; Enterobacteriaceae
Also listed under: 4 other names
Description: partial 23S ribosomal RNA
Rfam family: Bacterial large subunit ribosomal RNA
Source: RNAcentral